Long non-coding RNA from Oncorhynchus nerka (sockeye salmon), 965 nucleotides. RefSeq lists it as uncharacterized. The record is from RefSeq and is a predicted model, not a curated record. Lineage: Eukaryota; Metazoa; Chordata; Actinopteri; Salmoniformes; Salmonidae. The transcript has 3 exons.
UGAUUGUCCUGUGUGUCUUGAUGUCCUGGUUAGAGGUACUCUGGUUGUGGGCUGGUGGUUCCUGAGAAGCUACAAGGCUGUAAUGUGCUGGAUCUGGACAGUGACUCUGACAGAUACCGCUUCAUCCUCAUUUAGCUAGUGAGCCAGACUGGCCAUGCCCUCAGUACUGACAGGACAGCAGGACUGGGCUAGAUGCCGAAACUGGAUGGGACAGGCAUACAGAAUGGCUCCCUGGAUGUCCUGGUGUAAAGCUGUUCCUUCGUUCUGCACCCUCAGGCUUGCUUUCUGCUGGGGAUCUAUUUGAGUGUCUUACUGAAGCAGAUCACACACAACACAUAUCCAGUGACACUCCCUCCUCUCCAUCUCCUUUCAGCUAAUAGUAUGUUAAGGGAAAGGCCUUAUCUAUUUACCAUUUAUUCACUGAUUGACUCACAGAUUAAUUCAUCACUGAUUGGUGACCUAAUUAGUUCCCAGAUACCCAGAUACUGACUGAUGUCUCUGCCUCCUUCCUGUAGGUCAAACUGUGCCAUGUGUCUGUAUCCUGACAAAAAGGCUGUUCUCAGGGAGGCCUUCAGAGUGCUCGAAGUAACCUUCACACUCUCUGGUGGUCAGCCAAUAUUUCAGUAGCAUCCAGCAUGCCGCACCAAAAAAUAUAAAAUAUUGAUUAAGUAGUGGUGCUCAAAAUUGGAAACGUGUUUUAUAAAGCUAUUUGAUUUACAAAGUGGCAUCAUUUUCAUUAACCAUUUGCUUUUCCUCAUUUAUCUUUGGUGGUAUGUGAAAAUAUUGUUACGCAACCCGCAGUGUGAAAUCAGAUACUCUAUCGCCAUCUGCUGGACAAUCUUUUUAAACUUUUGUUUAUGGGAGUAUGGUUUGAUUUGCCUUCACAACAUUGUAAAACAUUGUAAAACAUAUAUUUUUGUGAAGAUUAGGGCCAAAAUAAAUGACCCAAAUAAAACAAUAUUUGU